This 454-nucleotide ribosomal RNA is filed under the name uncultured bacterium. RNAcentral's name for it is "partial 16S ribosomal RNA". It matches the Rfam family "Bacterial small subunit ribosomal RNA", at positions 28 to 507 of the family's 1533-position model. The record is from RNAcentral.
GGUGAACGCUGACAGAAUGCUUAACACAUGCAAGUCAACUUGAACUUCGGUUUGGGUGGCGGACGGGUGAGUAACGCGUAAAGAACUUGCCUCACAGAUAGGGACAACAUUUGGAAACGAAUGCUAAUACCUGAUAUUAUGAUUAUAUGGCAUCGUAUAAUUAUGAAAGCUAUAUGCGCUGUGAGAGAGCUUUGCGUCCCAUUAGCUAGUUGGAGAGGUAACGGCUCACCAAGGCGAUGAUGGGUAGCCGGCCUGAGAGGGUGAUCGGCCACAAGGGGACUGAGACACGGCCCUUACUCCUACGGGAGGCAGCAGUGGGGAAUAUUGGACAAUGGACCAAGAGUCUGAUCCAGCAAUUCUGUGUGCACGAUGAAGUUUUUCGGAAUGUAAAGUGCUUUCAGUUGGGAAGAAAAAAAUGACGGUACCAACAGAAGAAGAGACGGCUAAAUACGUG